RNAcentral lists this long non-coding RNA (1965 nucleotides) under Marmota monax (woodchuck). The record is from RNAcentral. Lineage: Eukaryota; Metazoa; Chordata; Mammalia; Rodentia; Sciuridae.
GGGUGGGCCCGAGGGCACCCCGACCCCUCUGGAAUGUGGGCGGGGCCCCCACCAAGGAGGCGGCCACCCCGCCGGCUGCCGCAGAACGCGGGCUGCGACUGCCCAGCCCCCGCCCCACACCCAGGACGCUGCCCACACCCAGCCCUCCUGGAGAAUAAGCAGUACCCCACAAACAGCCCCAUACCGCCCGGCCACCAGACACACGACCGGUGUGUACAGCACACCCCUCAACGCUCUAAGGGUGUUUAUUGAGUGCCAUCUGUUUGCCAGGCUCUUAAGUACACAACACCCACACACACCCCCAUAAACCUGCCCCAGGCCCGCACUGGUUCCUCCACAAUCCCUGAAUCAACUGUGUGACCCUCAAAACGAAGGGUACCCCCAUUCUUGCCCUGGCCCAAGACCUCCCUUAAAACCCUAGUAUUAAAAGUCACCAUGCAGCACCCUCCAACAAACAGUGGGAGAAGUGGGCUAAGAACCACUGGCCACUAGCUCUGGGCCCUAGGCCCUCCCCUUCCCCCACCCGUGGCCACUGCAGUCUUCUGGUCUGGGUGGGAAGCAGGUGCACACAGGGGGGCGGUUCACAGCUGUCCCCUGACUUCAGCCAGGAGCCUUUUGGUUACUGUUGGAAAUACAGGCAAAGAAGGAAAUUAACUUGAGUGACAGUACUCUGUGAACUGCCACAUGCAGAAGAGAGAGAACCCAAGCUCCCCUGUCCCCAGAGGUGCUGCUGCCUGUCACCCACUUUUCAGCUGGCCCUUGGUUCUGUGUGACCCUGGAGGGACAGAUCCUGAUAUGGAUGCAUGGACAUAUUUUCUAGGCAUCUGCUUGUAUGGGGGCCCUGCAGCCUCUGGGGUGGGCAGAUGCUACGUGACUUGGAUUGCCACACGCAGGGGUGUGAGUCCCUAUAGCUGCCCCAGGUUGAGGGUGUGGAGGAGAGGACUGGAUCUCCACUUGACUUCCUCCGUUGUUGACACAGAGAAACCACCAGCCCCAGGCAGAAGCCACUCUGUGUCCUUUGGGUUUACAGGGAACCUGUGUACAGGUGAUGCCCUGCUUUGGGGCCACAAGGUGGGGAGUGGGGCCCAGAGUACAGUGAAUGGCUAUGGUGGGGACCUGUUCCUUUGGCCCCUAGAGGAUGGGGGUUAUUGCUAAGCAUCUCUGAGGCCAUAGAGGUGGGCAGUCUAUACCCACCCCCUUACCCGGUUUUAGAAACAGUGUGCGUGUCCUGAGCACCCCCAGGUAAGGCACCUAGGCCAGCUGCAGGGUGUUCUUGGCUGCUGCAGGGACUCUGGCAUUUCCCAGACAUCUCAGGUGGCAUGCCCACAAAUACAGGUCACUGUACAUCCUGCCAGGUGUGCUCACUUUCUGCCCUUCCCACUGUCCAUCCCUCAGUGGCAGGGGUCACUUUCUUGGCCUCUGCAUUGUAUGGAGUACAGAAAGACUGAGCAGGUGUGGUCUUGAGAGCAGGCAUGGGGCCUUCUGUCCUGACCACCAUCACUGUGUGACCAUGUAUCCUCUGGAUCUCAUAUGCAACCUGUCAUGUAUGCAUGCAGUUGGCAGCAAUAGGGGACUGCAGUCAACUUUCAUGCCCAGGGCACUUCUUGGUGCCCAGUGCAUGGUGGCUGUGUGACUUUGUGCCCAGUGAGUGCAUAUGUGUGUGUGUGGUGUGUCACAGGAUAUGUGUGCUAAGGCCCAGCCUUGGGGCUGCUGGGAUGGCCUGCUCUGGCCUGGGCUGACCAGGAGCAGAUGUGGCCUAACAGCCUGUACAUUCCUGGGCUGUGACUCAGUCCUGUGGGGAGGGGGUGAGUCACUGGCAGCUUAGGCCCAGCCCCAGUCUGGGCCCUGCACCCCAUCCUGGAUGUAGACCCCCUCCUAGGAACAAGGUGCAGCCCCCCUCUGGCAUUUCUGUGUUGCAGACCUCUGAACCUUAGGCACUGGGGAAGAGAGACCCCCUUGGUACAG